UCCGGUUUGUCACCGGCAGUCUCAUUAGAGUGCCCUUUCGUAGCAACUAAUGACAAGGGUUGCGCCCCUUGCGGGGACCACCCAUCUCUGGGCUUAGCACGGGAUGUCAAGGCCUGGUAAGGUUCUGCGCGUUGCGUCGAAUUAAACCACAUGCUCCACCGCUUGUGCGGGCCCCCGUCAAUUCCUUUGAGUUUCAACCUUGCGGCCGUACUCCCCAGGCGGGAUGCUUAAUGCGUUAGCUGCGCCACUGAUAAGCAUGCUUACCAACGGCUAGCAUCCAUCGUUUACGGCGUGGACUAC
This 300-nucleotide unclassified non-coding RNA is filed under the name uncultured Alphaproteobacteria bacterium. RNAcentral's name for it is "contains 16S-23S intergenic spacer region". The record is from RNAcentral. Lineage: Bacteria; Pseudomonadati; Pseudomonadota; Alphaproteobacteria.